UCCCUGGUGGUCUAGUGGUUAGGACACAGCACUUUCACUGCUGACACCUGAGUUUGAUCCCUGGUCUGGGAA
RNAcentral lists this transfer RNA (72 nucleotides) under Sus scrofa (pig). It matches the Rfam family "tRNA". Rfam says of the family: Transfer RNA (tRNA) molecules are approximately 80 nucleotides in length. Their secondary structure includes four short double-helical elements and three loops (D, anti-codon, and T loops). Lineage: Eukaryota; Metazoa; Chordata; Mammalia; Artiodactyla; Suidae. The record is from Rfam by way of RNAcentral.